UACGAAGGGGGCUAGCGUUGCUCGGAAUGACUGGGCGUAAAGGGCGCGUAGGCGGAUGGCACAGUCAGAUGUGAAAUUCCCGGGCUUAACCUGGGGGCUGCAUUUGAUACGUGUUGUCUUGAGUUCGGAAGAGGGUCGUGGAAUUCCCAGUGUAGAGGUGAAAUUCGUAGAUAUCGGGAGGAACACCUGUGGCGAAAGCGGCGCACUGGACCACAACUGACGCUGAGGCGCGAAAGCUAGGGGAGCAAACAGG
This 253-nucleotide ribosomal RNA is filed under the name uncultured bacterium. Its description in RNAcentral is "partial 16S ribosomal RNA". It matches the Rfam family "Bacterial small subunit ribosomal RNA", at positions 524 to 776 of the family's 1533-position model. The record is from RNAcentral.